This 497-nucleotide ribosomal RNA is filed under the name uncultured bacterium. RNAcentral's name for it is "partial 16S ribosomal RNA". It matches the Rfam family "Bacterial small subunit ribosomal RNA", at positions 28 to 507 of the family's 1533-position model. The record is from RNAcentral.
GAUGAACGCUGGCGGCGUGCCUAAUACAUGCAAGUCGAGCGAACAGACGAGGAGCUUGCUCCUCUGACGUUAGCGGCGGACGGGUGAGUAACACGUGGAUAACCUACCUAUAAGACUGGGAUAACUUCGGGAAACCGGAGCUAAUACCGGAUAAUAUAUUGAACCGCAUGGUUCAAUAGUGAAAGACGGUUUUGCUGUCACUUAUAGAUGGAUCCGCGCCGCAUUAGCUAGUUGGUAAGGUAACGGCUUACCAAGGCAACGAUGCGUAGCCGACCUGAGAGGGUGAUCGGCCACACUGGAACUGAGACACGGUCCAGACUCCUACGGGGGGCAGCAGUAGGGAAUUUUCCGCAAUGGGCGAAAGCUUGACGGAGAAACGCCGCGUGAGUGAUGAAGGUCUUCGGAUCGUAAAACUCUGUUAUUAGGGAAGAACAAAUGUGUAAGUAACUAUGCACGUCUUGACGGUACCUAAUCAGAAAGCCACGGCUAACUACGUG